UCCGUUUGAUCCUGGCGGAGGCCACUGCUAUCGGAGUUCGAUUAAGCCAUGCGAGUCGAGAGGUGUAAGACCUCAGCAUACUGCUCAGUAACACGUGGACAACCUACCCUGAAGAGGGGGAUAACCCCGGGAAACUGGGGAUAAUACCCCAUAGGCUAUGGAUGCUGGAAUGCUCUGUAGUUGAAAGGUCCGCCGCUUCAGGAUGGGUCUGCGGCCGAUUAGGUUGUUGUUGGGGUAACGGCCCAACAAGCCUGUAAUCGGUACGGGUUGUGGGAGCAAGAGCCCGGAGAUGGAUUCUGAGACACGAAUCCAGGCCCUACGGGGCGCAGCAGGCGCGAAAACUCUACAAUGCGAGCAAUCGUGAUAAGGGAACUCCGAGUGCCCGUAAAAUCGGGCUGUCCGCCAGUGUAAAUAACUGGUGAAGAAAGGGCCGGGCAAGACCGGUGCCAGCCGCCGCGGUAAUACCGGCGGCUCGAGUGGUGGCCACUAUUACUGGGCUUAAAGCGUUCGUAGCUGGUCUGUUAAGUCUCUGGGGAAAUCUUCCGGCUUAACCGGAAGGCGUCUCAGGGAUACUGGCAGACUAGGGACCGGAAGAGGUGAGAGGUACUCCAGGGGUAGGAGUGAAAUCCUGUAAUCCUUGGGGGACCACCUGUGGCGAAGGCGUCUCACCAGGACGGCUCCGACAGUGAGGAACGAAAGCUGGGGGAGCAAACCGGAUUAGAUACCCCGGUAGUCCCAGCUGUAAACGAUGCGCGUUAGGUGUAUCGGUGACCACGAGACACCGAGGUGCCGAAGAGAAAUCGUGAAACGCGCCGCCUGGGAAGUACGGUCGCAAGGCUGAAACUUAAAGGAAUUGGCGGGGGAGCACCACAACGGGUGGAGCCUGCGGUUUAAUCGGACUCAACGCCGGGAAACUCACCGGACAAGACAGCUGAAUGAUAGUCGGGCUGAAGACUCUACUUGACUAGCUGAGAGGAGGUGCAUGGCCGUCGUCAGUUCGUACUGUGAAGCAUCCUGUUAAGUCAGGCAACGAGCGAGACCCA
Molecule: ribosomal RNA, 1043 nt
Filed under: uncultured archaeon
Lineage: Archaea
Description: bacterial SSU rRNA
Rfam family: Archaeal small subunit ribosomal RNA
Source: RNAcentral